RNAcentral lists this unclassified non-coding RNA (268 nucleotides) under Hevea brasiliensis (rubber tree). Lineage: Eukaryota; Viridiplantae; Streptophyta; Magnoliopsida; Malpighiales; Euphorbiaceae. The record is from RNAcentral.
AGAGAAACAAAUUCUCUAGAGAAAUAAAUUCUCAAAAAGAAGAGAAAAAAAUUCUCAAAUUUUAUUAAUUCUCAAUAAUAAUUUCAUAAUAAGCUCUCUCUAAUAAAAUAGCUGGACGUAGGUAUUUAUAAUAUAAUUUUAAUCCUACUACUAGGGGUAGAAAUCCCAAAAUAAGGCAACACUAAACCAAUACUGAUUAGGAAUCCCAAAUUAACUUAAACUCCCUAAAUAAAAUACUACUUCUUAUAUAAUAAUAAAAUCCUAAAUA